Molecule: non-coding RNA, 72 nt
Organism: Gigaspora rosea
Lineage: Eukaryota; Fungi; Glomeromycota; Glomeromycetes; Diversisporales; Gigasporaceae
Source: the annotation of a GenBank genome assembly
GGCUUGGUGGUCUAGUGGCAUGAUUCUCGCUUAGGGUGCGAGAGGUCCCGGGUUCAAUUCCCGGCCAAGCCC